GUAGGUGGCAAGCGUUGUUUGGAAUUAUUGGGCGUAAAGCGCGCGCAGGCGGUUCUUUAAGUCUGAUGUGAAAGCCCACGGGCUCAACCGUGGAGGGUCAUUGGAAACUGGAGAACUUGAGUACAGAAGAGGAAAGCGGAAUUCCACGUGUAGCGGUGAAAUGCGUAGAGAUGUGGAGGAACACCAGUGGCGAAGGCGGCUUUCUGGUCUGUAACUGACGCUGAGGCGCGAAAGCGUGGGGAGCAAACAGGAUUAGAUACCCUGGUAGUCCACGCCGUAAGCGAUGAGUGCUAAGUGUUAGGGGGUUUCCGCCCCUUAGUGCUGCAGCUAACGCAUUAAGCACUCCGCCUGGGGAGUACGGCCGCAAGGCUG
Molecule: ribosomal RNA, 372 nt
Filed under: uncultured organism
Description: partial 16S ribosomal RNA
Rfam family: Bacterial small subunit ribosomal RNA
Source: RNAcentral